Non-coding RNA from Phalacrocorax carbo (great cormorant), 1169 nucleotides. NCBI's taxonomy places the organism in Eukaryota, Metazoa, Chordata, Aves, Suliformes, Phalacrocoracidae. The record is from RefSeq and is a predicted model, not a curated record.
AUGUAGAUUUAACUGUGAACAUUUGUAUAAUCUUAGUAUGUAUACUUUACACUGUAUCCUGGGAAAUUAAUCACUGAAGAUAAAAUCAUCAGUGAAUGUAUCACAUGUAAAAAGUGUAACAAAAUAUCAAUUCUCAAAAAGCAUUCAUUGUAUCACAGGAAUGUUGAAGGCAUGUCAGCAAGAACAGCUGCACUAGCAAACAGUAAUAAGACGAGAGUUUAUUUGUGUGCAAAGAUGACCAAUAUGAAUAGAAUUCCACAGCACCCUUCUGAGCACCUUUCCAGCCCCAAGAAAACCAGUAAAGGUGCUAUUCAAUAUAUGAAAUUUUUAAAAUUUAAAAAGAACAGCCAUAGUAACUGUGGUUCUCUAGGAUGCACUACUACCCAACAUCCCUCCUCAACACACAUUCCUGUCAGAUGUGUGGUAUCAGCACCUGAUCUGGAGAUGCACCUGUGUCCUGGGAGACCUCCUGACCAACACAGCCCACAGUAUAUAAGGGAGGAUGGGGAGAAAGCACCUCCCAAGUUCCUCUUCUGAGAAUGUAAUUUUUUCUUUGUUUUUUCUGUUUGUUUCUUUGUUUGGGAGUUUUUUCUGCCAAAGACUUCCGAGUAGGAUGGUUCUAAAGGUGCGUGGACAGAAGACACUCAGAGGGACCAGAUGUUUUGAAUAGCUGAUUUUACUUGGGAUGUUGAUCACUACAAGAACAGAACAAAAAUUCUGAAGACUUCUAAGAUUCUUUCCACCCUCCCACCAGGGGAGGGGGAGGAGCAGCUGUGUGGUGCCUGGCUGCCAACUGGGGCUAAACCAUGUAAUAGAGCUACCUAUGAGGACGCUUCAAAUUUCUUGUAAAGAAGCUGUCAGUAAUGAAAAUCUGGGAAGAAGAAGGUAGAGACAAGAACCCUCUCUUCCCAGGAAUGACCAGCUGCUAUUACCAGUUAUUCAUAAAAACGCCAAUUUUUACUCUUUCAUACAAUGUUCUGAAGCCGUCUCCUGACAAAUAAAUAGCAUCUGCACAUCAAGGUGUUAGAAAUCAGCAUAACUAACCUCUCUUACUAUUAUGUAGCAAGCCUCCCUUUACCUGAGUCACAGUCAAUGAAGGAAAUUAACGCAAAGUAGUAACUGGUGAAAAUAUGUCAAAUGCUUAAGUGACCACAGUCCUUACCUUUGAU